UACGUAGGUGGCAAGCGUUAUCCGGAUUUAUUGGGCGUAAAGGGAACGCAGGCGGUCUUUUAAGUCAGCGGUCAAAUGUCGGGGCUCAACCCCGGCCUGCCGUUGAAACUGGCGGCCUCGAGUGGGCGAGAAGUAUGCGGAAUGCGUGGUGUAGCGGUGAAAUGCAUAGAUAUCACGCAGAACUCCGAUUGCGAAGGCAGCAUACCGGCGCCCGACUGACGCUGAGGCACGAAAGCGUGGGUAUCGAACAGG
This 252-nucleotide ribosomal RNA is filed under the name uncultured Bacteroidales bacterium. RNAcentral's name for it is "partial 16S ribosomal RNA". It matches the Rfam family "Bacterial small subunit ribosomal RNA", at positions 524 to 776 of the family's 1533-position model. The record is from RNAcentral. Lineage: Bacteria; Pseudomonadati; Bacteroidota; Bacteroidia; Bacteroidales.